This 518-nucleotide ribosomal RNA is filed under the name Symphurus longirostris. RNAcentral describes it as "partial 16S ribosomal RNA". It matches the Rfam family "Bacterial large subunit ribosomal RNA", at positions 1857 to 2563 of the family's 2925-position model. Lineage: Eukaryota; Metazoa; Chordata; Actinopteri; Pleuronectiformes; Cynoglossidae. The record is from RNAcentral.
ACCUGCCCAGUGACACUCCGUUAAACGGCCGCGGUAUUUUGACCGUGCUAAGGUAGCGCAAUCACUUGUCUUUUAAAUGAAGACCCGUAUGAAUGGUUUCACGAGGGCUUAGCUGUCUCCCGCCUCCGGUCAAUGAAAUUGAUCUCCCCGUGCAGAAGCGGGGAUACUUACAUAAGACGAGAAGACCCCGUGGAGCUUUAAAAUAUUGCUUACUACAAGUCAAUCAAGCUAUAAAACUAUAAACUUAUUGAACCCUAUGCAAUUUUUUGGUUGGGGCGACCCUGGGGAACACCUAACCCCCAUGUGGACUGGGAGCACCUUAUUAAUUAGACCUCCCCUCCUAAAACCCAGAAAGCCAUUUCUAAUUGACAGAACCUCUGACCCUCCGGACCCGGCACAGCCGACCAACGAACCUAGUUACCCCAGGGAUAACAGCGCAAUCCCCUCCUAGAGCCCUUAUCGCCGAGGGGGUUUACGACCUCGAUGUUGGAUCAGGACAUCCUAAUGAUGCAGCCGUC